CUCCACUUGGCGCCCCUUCCCUUUCCUUGAGUAGCAAAACCCACUGACUGUGAACUUCUUCAGGCCAGGACUUUUCCUUGUUCUGGCAUCCCCAGAACCAAGCACGAUGCCAGCUUCCGGCUGCUGCUUUUAGUAUUUGUUAAAGGAAUGAACAGCUCUUCUCAAAGCUCCCAAUCAUACCUCGAUGUAGAGGACUGAAAACAGCUGAGAGCUUUGCCUCUUCUCCUGGGACAUCAGUAUUUUAAAAACAGAUCAAAGCGACAUGGAAGAAGUUCAAUUACAUUGAAUGGUAGAGUUCCAGACAGCAUUUGAUCCUUUCCUUUGAGCAAAGGACCUUCUCUAUCCCUAAAACCAAAUCACAGAAGCCUGUGGCCUGUCAGGGCUGCUGGAAAUGGUGGUUUCAGACUCUUGCUUGGGAGCAUGACACUGAAAACAGAAAUAGCUUCCAGAAGACUUCAGAUAAGUUCAUGGAUAAUAGAGCCAAAAAUGAUCACUAAAAGGGAAGUCAGAAAGAUUCAGAGCUCCAUCUUUAGACAGGUAAAAUCUGAUUGAACAACAGCAGCUGCCUUCAUCAAGGGAGCCUGGAGAGCAAACAGCGGAAAAACAGUCAUCUGGCAACAUGUUGCAGGAAAAAGACAUUACAAAAGAAUAACAAGCUUGAGAGAGACAGGGCGGAACGCCUCUCCCCGCCUAGCUGGGCCCUGUGGGCUCCCCUCCGCAACCCUAAGGCGGGAGGCCGAGGGCAGCGGGGAGUCGCGCUUCACCUUCGCCCCUCAUUUGACCCAUGGACUCAUUAAUGGAAGAACCGAGGCAAGCAAGUUCACGGGAAGAAAUGCGCCCUCCCAACUGGAGGCCACCAGCUGCCCACUCGGGAACACCUCAGGGUGCCAACUGCAUCUCUGCGGGGUCGCCAGCCAUUUCUAGGACAUAUGUUUGUCCUUGUGGUAUUUGGGCUGGAGGACUCCAACAGAGAUCAAGUGUGGAGAGCAGUUCCACAGUCUCAAAAGAAAACCGCGGAAGUCUUGCUCUCAUAGAAGUCAUGACAGCAGUCCUAUGACAGCAGUCCUUUGAAGAAGCCCAUACAUAACAAAUGUAUUUGUGGCAUUAACAAAAAAGGACCACAACAGUCUUCUACUGAGGCGUGGCAGUGGGAUUUCAGCAGCAAUUUCCGCCUAUACGCCAACUCUCACACAUGGAGAUAUGUUGCCCUAUUUUCUUCUCUAAUUGCCUUACAUAUGUAUAUUGCUUUAUUUCCCAACCUGAGAGUGUUAGAUCCUCAAGAAGAAAAACUGUAUCUCCCAUUUUCCCGGUAUGUCAAUUUCACUCAGAACAAUUUGAUGCACACAGUUGGGAUUUAAUCCAUAUUUGCCAGUGAGAUCUUAGAGUAUCAAGAAAAACGAUUCCCUCAAUUCCGUGAAUUUCUCUGAGGUUUGCAUGGAUACACUUCCAUUGUUGACAUUCAAUGCAUGUGAAAUAGGCAUCAGAGCUUUUUA
This 1493-nucleotide long non-coding RNA is filed under the name Homo sapiens (human). RNAcentral's name for it is "HSALNT0365683". Lineage: Eukaryota; Metazoa; Chordata; Mammalia; Primates; Hominidae. The record is from RNAcentral.